This 497-nucleotide ribosomal RNA is filed under the name uncultured bacterium. RNAcentral describes it as "partial 16S ribosomal RNA". It matches the Rfam family "Bacterial small subunit ribosomal RNA", at positions 28 to 507 of the family's 1533-position model. The record is from RNAcentral.
GAUGAACGCUGGCGGCGUGCCUAAUACAUGCAAGUCGAGCGAACAGACGAGGAGCUUGCUCCUCUGACGUUAGCGGCGGACGGGUGAGUAACACGUGGAUAACCUACCUAUAAGACUGGGAUAACUUCGGGAAACCGGAGCUAAUACCGGAUAAUAUAUUGAACCGCAUGGUUCAAUAGUGAAAGACGGUUUUGCUGUCACUUAUAGAUGGAUCCGCGCCGCAUUAGCUAGUUGGUAAGGUAACGGCUUACCAAGGCAACGAUGCGUAGCCGACCUGAGAGGGUGAUCGGCCACACUGGAACUGAGACACGGUCCAGACUCCUACGGGAGGCAGCAGUAGGGAAUCUUCCGCAAAGGGCGAAAGCUUGACGGAGCAACGCCGCGUGAGUGAUGAAGGUCUUCGGAUCGUAAAACUCUGUUAUUAGGGAAGAACAAAUGCGUAAGUAACUAUGCACGUCUUGACGGUACCUAAUCAGAAAGCCACGGCUAACUACGUG